RNAcentral lists this ribosomal RNA (390 nucleotides) under uncultured bacterium. Its description in RNAcentral is "bacterial SSU rRNA". It matches the Rfam family "Bacterial small subunit ribosomal RNA", at positions 30 to 417 of the family's 1533-position model. The record is from RNAcentral.
AGUGAACGCUGGCGGCAGGCCUAAUACAUGCAAGUCGAACGGCAGCACGGCAGAGCUUGCUCUGUGGGUGGCGAGUGGCGGACGGGUGAGGAAUACAUGGGAAUCUGCCCAGUCGUGGGGGAUAACGUAGGGAAACUUACGCUAAUACCGCAUGCGCCCUUCGGGGAAAGCCGGGGACCUUCGGCCUGGCGCGAUUGGAUGAGCCCAUGUCGGAUUAGCUAGUUGGCGGGGUAAUGGCCCACCAAGGCGACGAUCCGUAGCUGGUCUGAGAGGAUGACCAGCCACACUGGAACUGAGACACGGUCCAGACUCCUACGGGAGGCAGCAGUAGGGAAUAUUGGACAAUGGGCGCAAGCCUGAUCCAGCCAUGCGCGUGAGUGAAGAAGGCCC